CCUUCCGAAAGGAUUUCUAAUACCGAAUGAGACCACAGUAACUACGGUUACAGGGGUUAAAGGUGACCUCUACUUGUAAGUUAUCACUUGGAGAUGGGCUUAUGCACCAUUAGCCUGUUGGUGAGGUAACGGCUCACCAAAGCUUUGAUGGUUAGCUGAUCUGAGAGGUUGAUCAGCCACACUGGAACUGAGACACGGUCCAGACUCCUACGGGAGGCAGCAGUAGGGAAUAUUGCGCAAUGGAGGAAACUCUGACGCAGCGACGCCGCGUGGGUGAUGAAGGCUUUCGGGUCGUAAAGCCCUGUCGGAAGGGAAGAAAAACAGAAUGGCUAAUAUCCAUUUUGCUUGACGGUACCUUCAGAGGAAGCACCGGCUAACUACGUGCCAGCAGCCGCGGUAAUACUGUAGGGUGCUAGCGUUGUUCGGAAUCAUUGGGCGUAAAGCGCGUGUAGGCUGUUAGGUAAGUCUUGUGUGAAAUCCCUGGGCUCAACCGAGGGAAGUGCAUGGGAAACUACCUAGCUAGAAGACGGUAGAGGAAGGUGGAAUUCCUAGUGUAGAGGUGAAAUUCGUAUAAUAUUAAGGAGGAAUUACCGGGUGGCGAAGGCGGGCUUUUUGGGCCCGAUAUUUGACGCUUAAACCGCGAAAGCGUGGGUAGCAAACAGGAUUUAGAUACCCUGGUAGUCCACGCCGUAAACGAUGGGUACUAGAUGUUGCGGGAAUUGACCCCUGCAGUGUCGACGUUAACGCAUUAAGUACCCCGCCUGGGAAGUACGGUCGCAAGAUUAAAACUCAAAGGAAUUGACGGGGGCCCGCACAAGCGGUGGAGCAUGUGGUUUAAUUCGAUGCAACGCGAAGAACCUUACCUGGGUUUGACAUCCCCAGACAGCCGUAGAGAUACGGUUUCCCCUUCGGGGGCUGGGAGACAGGUGCUGCAUGGCUGUCGUCAGCUCGUAUCGUGAGAUGUCGGGUUAAGUCCCUUAACGAGCGCAACCCCUAUCCCUAGUUGCCAUCAUUCAGUUGGGCACUCUAUGGAGACUGCCGGUGUUAAACCGGAGGAAGGCGGGGAUGACGUCAAGUCCUCAUGGCCUUUAUAUCCAGGGCAACACACGUGCUACAAUGGCCGGUACAGAGGGUCGCCAACCCGCAAGGGGGAGCUAAUCUCAGAAAGCCGGU
This 1173-nucleotide ribosomal RNA is filed under the name uncultured bacterium. Its description in RNAcentral is "bacterial SSU rRNA". It matches the Rfam family "Bacterial small subunit ribosomal RNA", at positions 147 to 1286 of the family's 1533-position model. The record is from RNAcentral.